This 119-nucleotide ribosomal RNA is filed under the name Solanum tuberosum (potato). Lineage: Eukaryota; Viridiplantae; Streptophyta; Magnoliopsida; Solanales; Solanaceae. The record is from RNAcentral.
UAAUGCGAUUAUACUAACACUAACACAUCAUAUUCUAUUAAAAUAGCGAAAUCAAGCAUGUUUAGGUGAGAGUAGUACUAAAAUAGGUGACCUUCUGCAAAGUCCUCGUAUUGCAUCCC